This 979-nucleotide long non-coding RNA is filed under the name Marmota monax (woodchuck). The record is from RNAcentral. Lineage: Eukaryota; Metazoa; Chordata; Mammalia; Rodentia; Sciuridae.
ACGCCCAACCAGGCUGAAAAUACCUUGACACCCAAUCCGAGAGGUUUGCUCAUUUCCCUUCGGAUUUAGGUAAUGGUUAAAUUUGGAAGAGGUGGGCGAGCGCCGAGCCCCCGGCGGAGAGGGCCCUGGCGGCGCGUCCCGCGGGCGCCCGGCGGGACCGGUGGGCGCGCCUUCCCAGAGCCGAGCUCACCAGACACUCCGCCGGGUCUGCUCAGCCUUUUGCUAAUUUCCGGUGGUCGGAGCUGUGAAAUUAAAGGCCACCCGGGAGGGAGCGCGCGGGGGCAUGGAGGACCGCUGCUAGGCUCACCCCGUCCUGCUUGGCCAAGGCUAGGACAGCAGACCACGAGCGCGGGUUCUGCCACCUCCUGAGGCUGUACCCCAGCACCUGUCCUUCGGGGAGCAGUGAAGCGCCAUUAUAGCACAACCCUAAUGAUUAUUGAAAAGUAAACUUUUCGCUUGGAUUGUAUGUUUCCUGAGUGUAGGCACUGGAUAUUCAUCAUGUCCACGGUAGGCUAACGAAUGUCUAGACUAAGUAAAUAAAUGCGUGGAAUGAAUUAGUUCUAUUAAUAGAACAGGGGGAAAAAACCCUCAAAACUUCACCCAUAACCAAAUUAACAAACAAAUACAGCGAUCUUCAGUGUUUGUCGAGAUACAUAGUGUGUGGCCUACUGUGUAUAUUCAAAGCCUCCAAUACAGCCUUUCCUGAUAUGGGUGGAUAUUAUUGUGAUCACGUUACUUUUCUAAGUGAAUUGAGUUGGAUUUUCAUCAUUAUUUCAUGCACAAUAAUUCUCCAAUAUCAAACACUGAAGGAAGGGGGCGAUGCACCCAGUUCUUACAAAAUAACCACCAUAUUUUGUUUUGUUUUGUUGGUGCUGAGUAUUAAACCCAGGGCCUUGCACUUGCUCAGUAACCACUGAACUACACCCUCAAGCCCAUGGCAUUUUUGACCAGUCCAAAAUUAUUAUGAGACCAAAAAGCC